This 315-nucleotide ribosomal RNA is filed under the name Crustacea environmental sample. RNAcentral describes it as "SSU rRNA". It matches the Rfam family "Eukaryotic small subunit ribosomal RNA", at positions 1140 to 1476 of the family's 1831-position model. The record is from RNAcentral. Lineage: Eukaryota; Metazoa; Arthropoda.
AAACUUAAAGGAAUUGACGGAAGGGCACCACCAGGAGUGGAGCCUGUGGCUUAAUUUGACUCAACACGGGAAAUCUCACCAGGCCCGGACACUGGAAGGAUUGACAGAUUGAGAGCUCUUUCUCGAUUAGGUGGGUGGUGGUGCAUGGCCGUUCUUAGUUGGUGGAGUGAUUUGUCUGGUUAAUUCCGAUAACGAACGAGACUCUGUCCUGCUAAAUAGUGUCGGCCUCUCUUUUGGGCCGACAAUUCUUCUUAGAGGGACUGGCAGCUCCUAGCUGCACGAGAUAGAGCAAUAAUAGGUCUGUGAUGCCCUUAG